AUACGAAGGGGGCAAGCGUUGUUCGGAAUAACUGGGCGUAAAGCGCACGUAGGCGGAAUGUUAAGUUAGAGGUGAAAUCCCAGGGCUCAACCCUGGAACGGCCUUUAAUACUGGCAAUCUAGAGACCGAGAGAGGUGAGUGGAAUUCCGAGUGUAGAGGUGAAAUUCGUAGAUAUGCGGAGGAACACCAGUGGCGAAGGCGGCUCACUGGCUCGGUACUGACGCUGAGGUGCGAAAGCGUGGGGAGCAAACAGGAUUAGAAACCCUAGUAGUCC
RNAcentral lists this ribosomal RNA (274 nucleotides) under uncultured bacterium. RNAcentral's name for it is "partial 16S ribosomal RNA". It matches the Rfam family "Bacterial small subunit ribosomal RNA", at positions 523 to 796 of the family's 1533-position model. The record is from RNAcentral.